AGUGAACCACUGAGCUCGCACUGUAGCCAGUCCUGUGUGCCCCUGCUGGAUUCUGCUUCUAUGAGGGAGGCAGCAAGGAGUUGGGACUUCACAGGUGAAAGGACUUGCCAGGGUCUUACUUUGUCGCCCAGGCUGGAGUACAGUGGCAUGAUCGUAGCUCAUUGCAGCCUCCACCUCCCUGGGCUCAGGAGAUCCAUCUCAGCCUCCUGAGUAGCUGGGACCACAGGUUUUGUUCAGGUUUAGCACAAGCUGUGAUGAAUAUCUUCAAGCCUCUGCUUCCUGCUGUGGAAUUGUUGCCAAAGGACACAUUCCCAGAUGGGAUUACUGAGUCAGAGGAAGUGGACAUUGAGUGGCUCUCAACAGACAGGCUGUGUUGCUCUCACAGUGCCCAGGUACCACCAGCAAUGUAUACACAUACAGGAAGCGCCGGCUUCCCUGUUGUCUUGUUGCUGUGGCGUGUUGGGGUCUCUAAGACCACCCUGGGUUUGUUGAUUGGCUAGGAGAACUCGCAGAACUCAGCAUACAGUGAUACUCGAGGCUAUGAUGUAUUACGACAACUGGAAAUGAAGCAAAU
RNAcentral lists this long non-coding RNA (574 nucleotides) under Homo sapiens (human). RNAcentral describes it as "non-protein coding lnc-ROCK2-3:10". The record is from RNAcentral. Lineage: Eukaryota; Metazoa; Chordata; Mammalia; Primates; Hominidae.